RNAcentral lists this ribosomal RNA (468 nucleotides) under uncultured bacterium. RNAcentral describes it as "partial 16S ribosomal RNA". It matches the Rfam family "Bacterial small subunit ribosomal RNA", at positions 28 to 507 of the family's 1533-position model. The record is from RNAcentral.
GACGAACGCUGGCGGCGUGCUUAACACAUGCAAGUCGAACGGAAAGGCCCUGCUUUUGUUGGGUGCUCGAGUGGCGAACGGGUGAGUAACACGUGUGUAACCUGCCCUUGACUUUGGGAUAUCUUCAUUAAACUGGGGCUAUUACCGCAUAUGAGCUCCUGCUGCAUGGUGGGUGUUGGAAAGUUUCGGCGGUUGGGGAUGUACUCGCGGCUUAUCAGCUUGUUGGUGGGGUAGUGGCUUACCAAGGCUUUGACGGGUAGCCGGCCUGAGAGGGUGACCGGCCACAUUGGGACUGAGAUACGGCCCAGACUCCUACGGGAGGCGGCAGUGGGGAAUAUUGCACAAUGGGCGGAAGCCUGAUGCAGCAACGCCGCGUGAGGGAUGACGGCCUUCGGGUUGUAAACCGCUUUCGCCAGGGAAGAAGCGAGAGUGACGGUAAUGGGAAAAGAAGCACCGGCUAACUACGUG